AAGUCGUAACAAGGUUUCCGUAGGUGAACCUGCGGAAGGAUCAUUAACAAAAUUGCGGCGGUAAGCAGGAGAUAUGAGGGAUUCUUGAAGGGGGUUUUUGAAGGUGUUCCUUCCUUCCUUCCUUCCUUUCUGAAAUGAAAUGAAAGGAAAGGAAAUAAAAGGAAAGGAAUAUUGGAAGGGGCCGUGGAAGGAAAUCUGAAAAAGGCCUGUGAAGCCAGCCAAUCAACCUUUGUGAAUCGGGGCGUGAUAGCAGCGAGCGAGAAAAACAAACAAUCAGCGCGGCUGCAAACACGGCUUAGAAGGCGUGGGCCGGUGUGCAGUGACAUGAAUAUGAAUAUUCAUAUGAAUAUUCAUGUCAAUGCAUCACCACUUAUUAAAGUCUAAUAACAUGUCGAAAGACAACUAAUACAACUUUUAACAAUGGAUCUCUUGGCUCUU
This 438-nucleotide unclassified non-coding RNA is filed under the name fungal sp. RNAcentral describes it as "partial internal transcribed spacer region". The stretch from base 1 to 46 matches the Rfam family "Eukaryotic small subunit ribosomal RNA", at positions 1786 to 1831 of the family's 1831-position model. Lineage: Eukaryota; Fungi. The record is from RNAcentral.